This 337-nucleotide unclassified non-coding RNA is filed under the name Spizellomyces sp. RNAcentral's name for it is "partial internal transcribed spacer region". The stretch from base 1 to 46 matches the Rfam family "Eukaryotic small subunit ribosomal RNA", at positions 1786 to 1831 of the family's 1831-position model. Lineage: Eukaryota; Fungi; Chytridiomycota; Chytridiomycetes; Spizellomycetales; Spizellomycetaceae. The record is from RNAcentral.
AAGUCGUAACAAGGUAACCGUAGGUGAACCUGCGGUUGGAUCAUUACUGAAAUCUUUGCCCCUUGGGCGUUUGUCUAACAGAGCUGUGCCUCCUUUUGGCAUAUCCCUGGAAAGACAUUCAUCAACCUUCUGUGAACUGUAUUGUCUCUGGCAGUGGGACAUGGUUGCAUAUUAUAUAUAAUCUGCAUUCCUUGUCUGUCAGUUGUAUAGCAAGAUGCUAUCAGCCGUGGACAAGCUGCCAACUUUAAUGUAUUAACAUUUGUCAGUUUAUUUUUGACUAAUAUUGUUUUGUAUUACAUAAAACAAACAACUUUUGGCAACGGAUCUCUUGGCUCUC